GCUGAGGAUCCAGGUGUAAAAGUUCCUAUCUAGUGGGGCAUGCAGGCGAGGCCAUGUGAUUAGUCCUGAGAGAAAGCAUUGUGAGUCAUUUCCAAGCUGCAGUACCUACAAGCCCAUGGGAAGUUCUUCGGUUUCUCUUUCCUCUGCCAUCACAACUAAGGAACCUCAGAUGAAACCUCUUGGGCCCCUGAGUCACUGCAUGGAAGACAAUUGCCUUGUAGAAUCACAAUGGAUUUUGUGUAAAAGAGAAAUAAAUAAAGCAUUGUUUUGUUAAGCCACU
Molecule: long non-coding RNA, 280 nt
Filed under: Homo sapiens (human)
Lineage: Eukaryota; Metazoa; Chordata; Mammalia; Primates; Hominidae
Description: non-protein coding lnc-GADD45A-4:1
Source: RNAcentral